Molecule: long non-coding RNA, 1156 nt
Filed under: Salvator merianae (Argentine black and white tegu)
Lineage: Eukaryota; Metazoa; Chordata; Lepidosauria; Squamata; Teiidae
Description: lncRNA (ENSSMRG00000022021.1)
Source: RNAcentral
CACAAUCCUGCAUCCUGGGAGUAUUUGCUGCAUCCUUACCACUUUGUAAAACAUUUCAAAGAUAAAAUGUAGCAGAGACCAUUGAAGGUGCUCCAUAGCAGUGUACUGGACCCAUCCUGUCCAGCCCUACCUCGUUGGGUGCUCUCAUCAUUGGUAGAGCACAGGAAAAUGGCUGAUGUCCACAGCCACUUCCUGUGCUCCCUGGUCAGAAACGAGCAACAGCAGGCAUGCAAAUAGCAUGUCACCACUGCUGUGAGCACUCUGCAGCAGAUCAAAGAUCACAGAUGUCUAUUCUUAGGAGAAUACUAUUACUGAUGCCAUGUUUGCAAACUUCAAGAACCUGUCUGUUAUGGACAAACUUGAUGCUCUGUCUUCCCUAGACAACCUAAAUAAGGCUAUAUACUUACUGAUGGAAAAGCUUCAGGAAUGGAUGACAUGCUGUCUGAAGUUAUCAAGAAAAACACAUCUAAGAUAAGAAUGGAAUAGGCAAGACCUACAAAGCCAGACAUGUUGUGUUUCCAGGAUGCAGACUUUCAUGGACGUCAAGGUUUCCUCAGGAGCUGUCAGUUCAGUUUACCAUCUGUCGGCUUUCCCACAUAACUUUGAGGUAACAGGUGGGGGCCUCAUUAAUACCUCACUUUGUUUUUGCCUGACUGGAAACUGGUUUUGCCUAGAACUGGUUGGCCUUUUGAAUUUUGUUUUAAGAAGCAGCAUGCAAGAAGAACGACUCGUUUUUCUCCCAUUAAUGUGCCCAAUUUUGGCACACUGAAUCCNGACUCUGCUGGAACCCUAAAGUGUGAAGGAAGUCCACAACAAAAACUGUUCUAGGCCACUAUUUAAAAUUUCACUGGCAUACUUGGACAAGAAGCCAUCAUUUUAAUCUUCUACAAUGUCCCAGAACUGUGCAGCCUUAUAAUAAUAGCUUCAUUCAGGGCUGGUUUAAUGAUUUCAGGACCCUAUGUAAAAAAAUUGUUUGGUGUGCUCCAAUAUCCAAUUUAGGCAGGCAGAAUGGAAGCUUCCCAGAAGCUCCAGCUCAGCACCAUUGCUCUACCAACCAUCCUUCAGACAGCAAAAUGGAUAUGUAUGCUGAUCUACAAAAUAUUCCAUGCUCUGCAUUUCUACCCACUAAUAAUAAAGAAUUAAGAAAUCCUUUCCA